Molecule: ribosomal RNA, 487 nt
Filed under: uncultured bacterium
Lineage: Bacteria
Description: bacterial SSU rRNA
Rfam family: Bacterial small subunit ribosomal RNA
Source: RNAcentral
AACGAACGCUGGCGGCGCGCCUAAUACAUGCAAGUCGAGCGAGAAGGUGUAGCAAUACACUUGUAAAGCGGCGAACGGGUGAGGAAUACAUGGGUAAUCUACCAUCGAGUGGGGAAUAACCAACCGAAGGGUUGGCUAAUACCGCGUACGCCUCCGAGUCUUCGGGUUCGGAGGGAAAGCUGCACUGUGAGUGUAGCGCUCUUUGAUGAGCUCAUGUCCUAUCAGCUUGUUGGUAGGGUAACGGCCUACCAAGGCUUUGACGGGUAGCUGGUCUGAGAGGACGAUCAGCCACACUGGCACUGCGACACGGGCCAGACUCCUACGGGAGGCAGCAGUAAGGAAUAUUGCGCAAUGGGCGAAAGCCUGACGCAGCGACGCCGCGUGGGGAUGAAGGUCUUCGGAUUGUAAACCCCUUCGGGAGGGAGAUGGAGCGAGCAAUCGUUCGGACGGUACCUCCAGAAGCAGCCACGGCCAACUUCGUGCCAGC